This 78-nucleotide ribosomal RNA is filed under the name Lacrimispora saccharolytica. RNAcentral's name for it is "partial 23S ribosomal RNA". The record is from RNAcentral. Lineage: Bacteria; Bacillati; Bacillota; Clostridia; Lachnospirales; Lachnospiraceae.
AGGUAGAUAGGGCAGGGGUGGAAGCACAGCAAUGUGUGGAGCUGACUGUUACUAAUCGGUCGAGGGCUUGACCAAGAA